UACGUAGGGCGCAAGCGUUGUCCGGAAUUAUUGGGCGUAAAGAGCUCGUAGGCGGUUUGUCGCGUCUGCUGUGAAAACCUAAGGCUCAACCUUGGGCUUGCAGUGGGUACGGGCAGACUAGAGUGCGGUAGGGGUGACUGGAAUUCCUGGUGUAGCGGUGGAAUGCGCAGAUAUCAGGAGGAACACCGGUGGCGAAGGCGGGUCUCUGGGCCAUUACUGACGCUGAGGAGCGAAAGCGUGGGGAGCGAACAGG
This 253-nucleotide ribosomal RNA is filed under the name uncultured bacterium. RNAcentral describes it as "partial 16S ribosomal RNA". It matches the Rfam family "Bacterial small subunit ribosomal RNA", at positions 524 to 776 of the family's 1533-position model. The record is from RNAcentral.